RNAcentral lists this long non-coding RNA (264 nucleotides) under Lonchura striata (white-rumped munia). RNAcentral's name for it is "domestica (Bengalese finch) lncRNA (ENSLSDG00000004585.1)". Lineage: Eukaryota; Metazoa; Chordata; Aves; Passeriformes; Estrildidae. The record is from RNAcentral.
UCAAAGAUGACAGAUGCAAGAGGGGUCCAACUGCAUCAGUGAGAGCUGACCCUCACUGACAGGAGCAGGAACAGUCUGCUUUUACUAAGAGUGGAAAUGCCUCUGCUGAAAUGAUCUCUUGGAAAUAGGAAGAUGAAAGAAGAAAAUGUUCAAGUAGAUUGUAAAGCUAUAAACUGCUAUAAACCGAAGAAAAGUAAGAGUUGGAGGAUAGUGACUGAUCCGUAUCAUAUGCUGUCCUCAUGUGGUAUUGUUGUUGGAACUUAG